Monodelphis domestica (gray short-tailed opossum) is the source of this 102-nucleotide small nuclear RNA. The record is from Ensembl. Lineage: Eukaryota; Metazoa; Chordata; Mammalia; Didelphimorphia; Didelphidae.
CUCAGUUGGUCAAGAUAUGUUAAAAUUGGAACAAUACAGAGAAGACUAGCAUAGCCCCUGUGCAAAGAUAAUGUGCAAAUUUGUGGUGCAGCAUAAAUUAAA